This 947-nucleotide ribosomal RNA is filed under the name Palpita nigropunctalis. RNAcentral's name for it is "partial 16S rRNA". The record is from RNAcentral. Lineage: Eukaryota; Metazoa; Arthropoda; Insecta; Lepidoptera; Crambidae.
AAAGAGAUAAUUAAUUAUAAAAGUUAUUGUGGCAUAAAUAUUUUACAUAAUUAAUUUGAAAUGAAAUGUUAAUCGUUUUUAAAGAUAUCUAGUUUUUUUAGAAAAAAAUUUAAUUUAUUUUUCUUUUUAAAUUUUUUUAAUUAAUUAAAAAAAUUUAAAAAGAAAAAUUAUAUUUUAAGGGAUAAGCUUUAAAUUAAAUUUUUAUAAUUAUUAUUUAAUUGUUAAUAAAAUUUUUAGAAUUUAUAUUGUUUAUAAUUUUUAUUUUAUUAUAAAUAAUUUUAUUAAUUAAUAAAAUUUUUUAAUAAUUUAAUUUUUUAUAAAGAAAAAUUAUUUAAUUAAAAAUUAAUUAUUAUAAUGAUAAAAUUAGUAUUUAAAAAAAAAUAUUAUAAAUUAAAAAAAAAAAUGAAUUUAAGGAAUUCGGCAAAUUUUUAUAUUCACUUGUUUAUCAAAAACAUGUCUUUUUGAAAAUAAUUUAAAGUCUAAUCUGCCCACUGAUAAAUUAUUAAAGGGCUGCAGUAUAUUGACUGUACAAAGGUAGCAUAAUCAAUAGUCUCUUAAUUGGUGACUUGUAUGAAAGAUUGGAUGAAAUAUAAACUGUCUCAAAUUUAAAUUAAAGAAAUUAAUUUUUUGAUUAAAAAGUCAAAAUAAUUUUAAAAGACGAGAAGACCCUAUAGAGUUUUAUAAUAUUUUUUAUUAAAAUUAUAUAUUAAAAUUAAUAAUUAAAAUUAAAAAUAUUAUUUUGUUGGGGUGAUAAAAAAAUAAGAAUAACUUUUUUUAAAAAAAAAUCAUAAAUAAGUGAAUAAAUGAUCCAAAAAUAUUUUGAUUAAAAGAAAAAAUUACCUUAGGGAUAACAGCGUAAUUUUUUUUUUUAGUUCAUAUAAAAAAAAGAGUUUGCGACCUCGAUGUUGGAUUAAGAUAAAAUUUAUAUGCAAAAGUAUAAAAUUUUG